RNAcentral lists this ribosomal RNA (434 nucleotides) under uncultured bacterium. Its description in RNAcentral is "partial 16S ribosomal RNA". It matches the Rfam family "Bacterial small subunit ribosomal RNA", at positions 29 to 507 of the family's 1533-position model. The record is from RNAcentral.
AGCGAACGCUGGCGGCAGGCCUAACACAUGCAAGUCGAACGAACCUUUCGGGGUUAGUGGCGGACGGGUGAGUAACACGUGGGAACGUGCCUUUAGGUUCGGAAUAACUCAGGGAAACUUGUGCUAAUACCGAAUGUGCCCUUCGGGGGAAAGAUUUAUCGCCUUUAGAGCGGCCCGCGUCUGAUUAGCUAGUUGGUUGAGGUAAUGGCUCACCAAGGCGACGAUCAGUAGCUGGUAUGAGAGGAUGAUCAGCCACAUUGGGACUGAGACACGGCCCAAACUCCUACGGGAGGCAGCAGUGGGGAAUCUUGCGCAAUGGGCGAAAGCCUGACGCAGCCAUGCCGGGUGAAUGAUGAAGGUCUUAGGAUUGUAAAAUUCUUUCACCGGGGACGAUAAUGACGGUACCCGGAGAAGAAGCCCCGGCUAACUUCGUG